Molecule: ribosomal RNA, 373 nt
Filed under: uncultured eukaryote
Lineage: Eukaryota
Description: partial 18S ribosomal RNA
Rfam family: Eukaryotic small subunit ribosomal RNA
Source: RNAcentral
CAAUAGCGUAUAUUUAAGUUGUUGCAGUUAAAAAGCUCGUAGUUGGAUUUCGGUUGAGAACGGCCGGUCCGCCGUUUGGUGUGCACUGGCUGGUUUCAACUUCCUGUAGAGGACGUGCUCUGGCUUCACGGCUGGACGCGGAGUCUACGUGGUUACUUUGAAAAAAUUAGAGUGUUCAAAGCGGGCUUACGCUUGAAUAUUUCAGCAUGGAAUAACACUAUAGGACUCCUGUCCUAUUUCGUUGGUCUCGGGACGGGAGUAAUGAUUAAGAGGAACAGUUGGGGGCAUUCGUAUUUCAUUGUCAGAGGUGAAAUUCUUGGAUUUAUGAAAGACGAACUUCUGCGAAAGCAUUUGCCAAGGAUGUUUNCAUUAG